CCUACGGGAGGCAGCAGUCGGGAAUUUUGCGCAAUGGGCGAAAGCCUGACGCAGCAACGCCGCGUGAGGGAUGACGGCCUUCGGGUUGUAAACCUCUUUUGUCAGGGAAGAUGAUGACGGUACCUGGCGAAUAAGCCACGGCUAACUACGUGCCAGCAGCCGCGGUAAU
This 169-nucleotide ribosomal RNA is filed under the name uncultured Chloroflexota bacterium. RNAcentral's name for it is "uncultured Chloroflexi bacterium partial 16S ribosomal RNA". It matches the Rfam family "Bacterial small subunit ribosomal RNA", at positions 338 to 524 of the family's 1533-position model. Lineage: Bacteria; Bacillati; Chloroflexota. The record is from RNAcentral.